Molecule: ribosomal RNA, 391 nt
Filed under: uncultured bacterium
Lineage: Bacteria
Description: bacterial SSU rRNA
Rfam family: Bacterial small subunit ribosomal RNA
Source: RNAcentral
AUUGAACGCUGGCGGCAUGCCUUACACAUGCAAGUCGAACGGCAGCACGGGGCAACCUGGUGGCGAGUGGCGAACGGGUGAGUAAUAUAUCGGAACGUACCCUGGAGUGGGGAGUAACGUAGCGAAAGUUAACGCUAAUACCGCAUACGAUCUAAGGAUGAAAGUAGGGGGCGUUCGCAAGAACCUCAUGCUCCUGGAGCGGCCGAUAUCUGAUUAGCUAGUGGUAGGGUAAAGACCUACCAAGGCUUCGAUCAGUAGCUGGUCUGAGAGGACGACCAGCCACACUGGAACUGAGACACGGUCCAGACUCCUACGGGAGGCAGCAGGUGGGGAAGUUUUGGUACAAUGGGCGCAAGCCUGAUCCAGCAAUGCCGCGUGAGUGAAGAAGGCC